RNAcentral lists this unclassified non-coding RNA (847 nucleotides) under uncultured cyanobacterium. RNAcentral's name for it is "bacterial SSU rRNA". It matches the Rfam family "Bacterial small subunit ribosomal RNA", at positions 480 to 1366 of the family's 1533-position model. The record is from RNAcentral. Lineage: Bacteria; Bacillati; Cyanobacteriota.
AGGAUAACAUAGGCUACUCCUGCCCCCGCCGCGGUAUCGGAGGAGCAAGGUUUCCGGAUGUUGGGGAAAGCGCCGCAGGGGUCAACACUCUAUUUCAAAGCCGGGGUCCCCCCUGAAAGCGGUGGAACUGUAAACUAGAGGUCGUGGGGUAGAGGGAUUCCCACUUAGCGAUGAAGACGUAGAGAGGGGAAGAACAUCGGUGGGAAGCGCUCUCUGGACGGCAAUUACACUCAGGGACGAAAGCUGGGGGGCGAAUGGGAUUAGAUACCCCAGUAGUCCUAGCCGUAAACGAUGGAUCUAGGUGUGGCUUGUAGCAAAACGAGCCGCGCCGUAGCUAACGCGUUAAGUAUCCCGCCUGGGGAGUACGCUCGCAAGAGUAAACUCAAAGGAAUUGACGGGGGCCCGCACAAGCGGUGGAGUAUGUGGUUUAAUUCGAUGCAACGCGAAGAACCUUACCAGGACUUGACAUGUCGCGAAUCUUCUUGAAAGAGAGGAGUGCCUUCGGGAGCGGGAACACAGGUGGUGCAUGGCUGUCGUCAGCUCGUUUCGUGAGAUGUUGGGUUAAGUCCCGCAACGAGCGCAACCCUCAUUUUUAGUUUCCAAUAUUAAGUUAGGCACUCUAGACAGACUGCCGGUGACAAACCGGAGGAAGGUGGGGAUGGCGUCAAGUCAGCAUGCCCCUUACGUCCUGGGCUACACACGUACUACAAUGGUAGGGACAAAGGGAAGCGAAGCUGCGAAGUGAAGCAAAUCCCAUCAAACCCUGCCUCAGUUCAGAUCGCAGGCUGCAACUCGCCUGCGUGAAGGAGGAAUCGCUAGUAAUCGCAGGUCAGCAUACUGCGGUGAA